GACGAACGCUGGCGGCGUGCCUAAUACAUGCGAGUUGAGCGCUGAAGGUUGGUACUUGUACCAACUGGAUGAGCAGCGAACGGGUGAGUAACGCGUGGGGAAUCUGCCUUUGAGCGGGGGACAACAUUUGGAAACGAAUGCUAAUACCGCAUAAAAACUUUAAACACAAGUUUUAAGUUUGAAAGAUGCAAUUGCAUCACUCAAAGAUGAUCCCGCGUUGUAUUAGCUAGUUGGUGAGGUAAAGGCUCACCAAGGCGAUGAUACAUAGCCGACCUGAGAGGGUGAUCGGCCACAUUGGGACUGAGACACGGCCCAAACUCCUACGGGAGGCAGCAGUAGGGAAUCUUCGGCAAUGGACGAAAGUCUGACCGAGCAACGCCGCGUGAGUGAAGAAGGGUUUCGGAUCGUAAAACUCUGUUGGUGGAGAAGAACGUUGGUGAGAGUGGAAAGCUCAUCAAGUGACGGUAACUACCCAGAAAGGGACGGCUAACUACGUG
Molecule: ribosomal RNA, 497 nt
Filed under: uncultured bacterium
Lineage: Bacteria
Description: partial 16S ribosomal RNA
Rfam family: Bacterial small subunit ribosomal RNA
Source: RNAcentral